This 76-nucleotide transfer RNA is filed under the name Thalassovita aquimarina. Its description in RNAcentral is "tRNA-Thr". It matches the Rfam family "tRNA". Rfam says of the family: Transfer RNA (tRNA) molecules are approximately 80 nucleotides in length. Their secondary structure includes four short double-helical elements and three loops (D, anti-codon, and T loops). Further hydrogen bonds mediate the characteristic L-shaped molecular structure. tRNAs have two regions of fundamental functional importance: the anti-codon, which is responsible for specific mRNA codon recognition, and the 3' end, to which the tRNAs corresponding amino acid is attached (by aminoacyl-tRNA synthetases). tRNAs cope with the degeneracy of the genetic code in two manners: having more than one tRNA (with a specific anti-codon) for a particular amino acid; and 'wobble' base-pairing, i.e. permitting non-standard base-pairing at the 3rd anti-codon position. Lineage: Bacteria; Pseudomonadati; Pseudomonadota; Alphaproteobacteria; Rhodobacterales; Roseobacteraceae. The record is from RNAcentral.
GCCCCUAUAGCUCAGCUGGUAGAGCAAAUGAUUUGUAAUCAUUAGGUCCGCGGUUCGAGUCCGUGUGGGGGCACCA